UACAUAGCUUAAUGAGGGGAACUCAGGGAACUGAAACAUCUAAGUACCUGAAGGAAGAGAAAGAAAUUCGAUUCCGUAAGUAGCGGCGAGCGAACGCGGAUUAGCCCAAACCAAUAAAGUUUUCUUUAUUGGGGUUGCGGACAUAUCAUAACGAAGAGGUAUCGUAAUUGAAGAGGUUUGGAAAGACCCACCACAGAAGGUAAUAGUCCUGUAUGUUAAACGAGAAGACUUUA
This 233-nucleotide ribosomal RNA is filed under the name Clostridioides difficile. RNAcentral's name for it is "partial 23S ribosomal RNA". It matches the Rfam family "Bacterial large subunit ribosomal RNA", at positions 163 to 397 of the family's 2925-position model. Lineage: Bacteria; Bacillati; Bacillota; Clostridia; Peptostreptococcales; Peptostreptococcaceae. The record is from RNAcentral.